UUGCCGAAAGAAUGUACGGUGGAAACGUAAAAAAAAAAAAUAAUACCAACUUUGAACCCUUUCAAUCCCCAGAAAGUCCUAACCCCCAAAAAAUCAUUUCAGUGGGUCCUGCUCUGAUUCAUUACCUUUCAUUUGAGCUAUGUCCGGUGUCGAACUUUGCCGUACGGAGCUGGCGAGACUUGCCGAAAGAAUGUACGGUGGAAACGUAAAAAAAACAAUAAUACCAACUUUGAACCCCUUCAAUUCCCAGAAGGUCCUAACCCCCAAAAAAUCAUUUCAGUGGGUCCUGCUUUGAUUCAUUACCUUUCAUUUGAGCUAUGUCCGGUGUCGAUUUUUGCCGUAUGGAGCUGGCGAGACUUGACGAAAGAAUGUACGGUGGACACGUAAUAAAA
Mytilus californianus (California mussel) is the source of this 392-nucleotide long non-coding RNA. RefSeq lists it as uncharacterized. The transcript has 2 exons. Lineage: Eukaryota; Metazoa; Mollusca; Bivalvia; Mytilida; Mytilidae. The record is from RefSeq and is a predicted model, not a curated record.